Neodiprion fabricii is the source of this 2432-nucleotide long non-coding RNA. RefSeq lists it as uncharacterized. The record is from RefSeq and is a predicted model, not a curated record. Lineage: Eukaryota; Metazoa; Arthropoda; Insecta; Hymenoptera; Diprionidae. The transcript is spliced from 6 exons.
UGAAAUUUAAGUAGGUUUACUUUAAGUACCGUAACAUGUUCAAUCGAAUAACUGACUGGUACUGGAAGUCAUUGUCAGUUUUGAUAUGAAAAUUGAGUUGCAACAUGAACUUGAUCACGUUCAGAUGCGGAUUACCUGGCUAUAAAAUUAAACUACUUACCUGGAAUAUUUCCCAUCCCCAAUCCUGGUAAGUUUUAUUACCCGUCAAGUACCACAUGUAGAACAGGGUCUCCAGAAAUUCUGGGCGCAGCAAAUUAUGGGCAUCAUUUGCCUUCACGUACAUGUCUAAUUGAUUAGCAUCACCUUCCAAUGGCUUCUGCAAGGUGAGACGAAUCGAUCAAUACUGACACAACGCACUCAAAUAUAAAGUGCAAGGAAUGUCGGCUGAACAGCAUAAGUUUGGUAACAAGUGCGCACAAGCUCUUCGGCCAACUUCAUGUGGUCGGAUUGGAGGCCGUUGUGUGCUCCCAGAGCCAAGGUUCCUCCCAAAAAGCAUACCAAAUGGUCCUGCAUAAUUGAGAUAACGGUAAACAGUUUGAACACACUGCUUCAAAUAUUCAAAUGUCUGUAACCACUGUUUCAACAAAUAUUCAUAGUAACUGUCCCCUCGUGCGCCGAACGAGAUUGUUGACAAUUCUCUAAACGCUCCAGUGUUGGCGUUUAUAAAAAUUGGAACAAGUCCGUCGAAUUUCUUCAACUGAUGUACAUGCUCUGAAACCUUAGCUGCUGCUUCCUGAAACCAUUCAUAAAUAUGAAAUUUAGAAAAAUUUAACACAGAUAAAGUACCUCAAACUUUGACUGGCCUGAAACACGGCUAAGAUCGCGAAACUCCAACUGUAUUGUGGUAACUUCACUGGUACUACUAUCAGGGCCCCAUUUUGGGCUGUGCGCAGUUCUGGUACCAAGAUUGACGUCGGAAUACGGAACACCAGAUUUAGUGGAGAAGGCAGGCAUCAAUCGAUCGCCAAGAUCAAACUGAAAAUGUUUUUUAAGCAUGUUUUAAAUUGCCAGUACUAAUCGAUAAUAAACGGAUACUUUUAAAAUUCAUUUUCAUAAUAACAGCUUACGGCUUUAUCCAGGAAUAUUUUAUCUCCCGACAAAUGGUAAGUGCUCAACAGUCCGCCUAAUACACGAAUGGUCACUUCAAACAAAUUCACAUCCCUGCUCACCCCAAACGUUAAACUCUCUUCGACCCAAGCUCGAGCUUCCGCGAACUCUGUAAUAUUAUUUUCAUCAAACAAUCAAAGACGACCGAACUUAUUUGUUAGAGUGAAAUUUACAAAUUGAGAAUAUUAAUGAAAUGAAAAUCAGUCAGAGAAGUGGUAUGUACAAAUCAAAAACAACUACCAGAAAAGUCAAAAUCAACAAACUUUUACAUGAGAUGAGAACAUCUGCAUAAAAGUUUACCCCGGAAUGUGAUUAUUUGUGUUGUCUUUAACUACUGUCUGGUGAAAAAUCAGAGAUCAUUGUUUCAAAGUAUGUGAAUCUUGGAUUACAAAAAUUUCAGUUCAAAUUCGAAUCAAAUUGAAAUUCAAUUGAACGUUAUUAUUAUAACACUAUAAUAAUCAAGUUUUCUGUGAGGUUGAAGUUUCUAUAACAUUAAUAUGACGAUUCACUUUGAGCAAAAAUUGUUAUUUCACAACUUUAGGUUUGUGUGAAGCCUCAGUAGACCAUGUUAUAGUAAAAUAUACUCAUUAUUACCAACAGAAAAUGGUUCCAAGCGUGACUCAUCAUUUUUUAAUAAAUUGAGGAGAAUAUGGUAGGUUUGCAUACAAUAGUAAAUGAGAAAUUAGAUGGACAGGACCUGAUUAAAACGUUGUGUCAGAGUUAUUAUUGUAGCCAUGCGAGCGAGCUUACUCGUAAGCAAGGAAACCGAUUGGUAAAUACAAUGGCGGGCACAUGUACUCCCCGUACUACAUGAUAGUACAGUUGUUAUGCUGCGCACACUCAAAGGUGAGGUGGAGUCCCUUCACGCUCCGCAUACCUGAGUAACAUAUACUAGCUAGGACGACCUGAGUAUCGAAAGGCAGCCAGUCCUGUCAGGCAAGUGCAAAGAGGAAACACAGAUGACAGUUUUGAGAAAGGAAUGAUUCGGAACUAUUACUCGCACAUUCUAGAAAUCGAUGGACUGUGGCAACAGCACACUUCGAAGCAGGGCAAAGAUUGGAUGAGGAAGCGAAGUCAAGUCAAGUUUGAACUGAGGGCAACAGCAGAAUGCAAGGCGGAGCGAAAGAGAACAUUGCUGUGCAGGACAGAUUGUUGGUGGAGCAUUUUAAAGAAUGAAAAGAGCUCAGAUAAGAGCUAACGAGUUAAGAGAAUGCUGUUUACUACUAUUUCGCUUGAAGUACAAAGUUGAAGUUCGUUACGUUAACAUGGUACACUUUUAAAUGAUGCACGCUACACAGAGGGAGACUGAGUCUUUCCAUACCAGA